Molecule: ribosomal RNA, 460 nt
Filed under: uncultured bacterium
Lineage: Bacteria
Description: partial 16S ribosomal RNA
Rfam family: Bacterial small subunit ribosomal RNA
Source: RNAcentral
CCUACGGGAGGCAGCAGUGAGGAAUAUUGGUCAAUGGACGAGAGUCUGAACCAGCAAAGUAGCGUGAAGGAUGACUGCCCUAUGGGUUGUAAACUUCUUUUAUAAAGGAAUAAAACGAGGCACGUGUGCCUUUUUGCAUGUACUUUAUGAAUAAGGAUCGGCUAACUCCGUGCCAGCAGCCGCGGUAAUACGGAGGAUCCGAGCGUUAUCCGGACUUAUUGGGUUUAAAGGGAGCGUAGAUGGGUUGUUAAGUCAGUUGUUAAAGUUUGCGGCUCAACCGUUAAAUUGCAAUUGAUACUGGCAGUCUUGAGUACAGUUGAGGUAGGCGGAAUUCGUGGUGUAGCGGUGAAAUGCUUAGAUAUCACGAAGAACCCCGAUUGCGAAGGCAGCUUACUAAACUGUGACUGACAUUGAUGCUCGAAAGUGUGGGUAUCAAACAGGAUUAGAUACCCGUGUAGUC